UGAGUGAAACGUGGUCAAGGAACUCGGCAUAAUGAUCCCGUAACUUCGGAAGAAGGGAUGCCAGAGACGGUGUAGGGAACACCGAAGCUGUUUCUGGUCGCAGCGAAUCGGCCCAAGCGACUGUUUAGCAAAAACACAGGUGUGUGCCAAGCCGCACAAGGCGCCGUAUACACACUGACGCCUGCCCGGUGCCGGAAGGUUAAGGGGAGAGGUUAGCCGCAAGGCGAAGCUUUGAGCCGAAGCCCCGGUAAACGGCGGCCGUAACAAUAACGGUCCUAAGGUAGCGAAAUUCCUUGUCGGGUAAGUUCCGACCUGCACGAAUGGCGUAACGACUUGGGCACUGUCUCGACCACGUGCUCGGCGAAAUUGCAGUCUCGGUGAGGAUUCCGAGUCCCCGCGACAGGACAAAAAGACCCCAUGCACCUUUACUGUAGCUUGUCAUUGGUCGUUGCACAUCGCUGUGUAGCAUAGGUGGGAGUCGAUGAGCCCGGGGCGCUAGCUCCGGGGGAGACAUCAGUGAAAUACCACCCUGCGUCGUGCGACGCCCUCACCACGGCGGGAACACCCCGUCUGGGACCGUGGCAGGUGGGCAGUUUGACUGGGGCGGUCGCCUCCGAAACAGUAACGGAGGCGCGCGCAAGGUUGGCUCAGCGCGGACGGUACUCGCGCUUCUAGAGUGUAACGGCAGAAGCCAGCCUGACGGUGAGAUCGACGGAUCGAGCCGCCACGAAAGUGGGCCGUAGUGAUCCGGUAGCCCGGGGUGGAGCGGCUAUCGCGCAACGGAUAAAAGGUACGCUGGGGAUAACAGGCUUAUCGCGCCCGAGAGUUCACAUCGACGGCGCGGUUUGGCACCUCGAUGUCGGCUUAUCACAUCCUGGGGCUGGAGAAGGUCCCAAGGGUCCGGCUGUUCGCCGGUUAAAGUGGUACAUGAGCUGGGUUCAGAACGUCGUGAGACAGUUCGGUCUGUAUCCGUCGUGGGCGUUGGAGAGUUGAGGGGAGCGGACUCUAGUACGAGAGGACCGAGUCGGACGACCCGCUCGUGUCCCGGUUGUCCUGCCAAGGGCACCGCCGGGUAGCGAUGGUUGGCUGUGAUAACCGCUGAAAGCAUCUAAGUGGGAAGCACGCCCCAAGAUGAACUCUCCCGAGGCCUUGAGCCUCUUGAAGGGCCGGGGAAGACCACCCCGUCGAUAGGCCGCCCGUGGACGUCCCGCAAGGGAUUCCAAGCGCAGCGGUCCUAAUCGCCCGUACGGCUUGACUAC
This 1259-nucleotide ribosomal RNA is filed under the name metagenome. Its description in RNAcentral is "bacterial LSU rRNA". It matches the Rfam family "Bacterial large subunit ribosomal RNA", at positions 1691 to 2925 of the family's 2925-position model. The record is from RNAcentral.